Non-coding RNA from Brenneria sp. EniD312, 171 nucleotides. NCBI's taxonomy places the organism in Bacteria, Pseudomonadati, Pseudomonadota, Gammaproteobacteria, Enterobacterales, Pectobacteriaceae. The record is from Rfam.
CGUUGCUCAUUCAACUGGUUAUGAUUGCGCUGCUGAUUGGCAGAUAAAUUCGCUCAUAACAUCCGGAAUGACGCCAAAAGAAAGGGUGCCUAUCGUCCACCAGAUCGAUAACCGUACGCGCAAGCCGACUUUAUCAAACAUCGGGCGACACGUUGAGUGAGGCACCGCCUA